This 495-nucleotide ribosomal RNA is filed under the name uncultured bacterium. RNAcentral describes it as "partial 16S ribosomal RNA". It matches the Rfam family "Bacterial small subunit ribosomal RNA", at positions 28 to 507 of the family's 1533-position model. The record is from RNAcentral.
GACGAACGCUGGCGGCGUGCCUAAUACAUGCAAGUAGAACGCUGAAGGAGGGGCUUGCUUCGCUGGAUGAGUGGCGAACGGGUGAGUAACGCGUAGGUAACCUGCCUGCUAGCGGGGGAUAACGAUUGGAAACGAGAGCUAAUACCGCAUAAGAGUAGAUGUUGCAUGAGAGGUGCGUAAAAAGGGCAAUUGCAGCACGACCAGAUGGAGCUGCGUUGUAUUAGCUAGGUGGUGGGGUAACGGCCCACCAAGGCGACGAGAGCUAGGCGAGCUGGGCGGGGGGUGGGCCUCACCGGGCCUGUGGCGCGGGCCAGACUCCUCCGGGAGGCAGCAGUAGGGGAUCUUCGGAAAUGGGCGGAAGUCUCGCCGAGCAACGCCGCGUGCGUGGCGUAGGUUUUCGGGUCGUACAGCUCUGUUGUCUCUGAAGCACGAGUGUGAGCGGCAACAGUUCACGUUGUGACGGUAGCUGACCAGGAAGCGCCGGCUAACUACGUG